AGCGAACGCUGGCGGCAGGCUUAACACAUGCAAGUCGAGCGGGCCUUUCGGGGUCAGUGGCGGACGGGUGAGUAACGCGUGGGAACGUGCCCUCUGGUUCGGAAUACCUCAGGGUAACUUGAGCUAAUAUCGGAUACGCUCUUCUGGUGCAAGGCUUGCUGCCGGAGGUUCGGCCCGCGUUGGUUUGGCCGGUUGGUGAGGUAACGGCGCACCAAGGCGUGGAUCAGUAGCUGGGCUGAGAGGAUGAUCAGCCACACUGGGUCGGAGACACGGCCCAGACUCCUACGGGAGGCAGCAGUGGGGAAUAUUGGACAAUGGGCGCAAGCCUGAUCCAGCCAGGCCGCGUGAGUGAUGAAGGCCUGAGGGUAGUAAAGCUCUUUUAUCCGGGACGAUAAUGACGGUACCGGAGGAAUAAGCCCCGGCUAACUUCGUG
This 433-nucleotide ribosomal RNA is filed under the name uncultured bacterium. RNAcentral describes it as "partial 16S ribosomal RNA". It matches the Rfam family "Bacterial small subunit ribosomal RNA", at positions 28 to 507 of the family's 1533-position model. The record is from RNAcentral.